This 486-nucleotide ribosomal RNA is filed under the name uncultured bacterium. Its description in RNAcentral is "partial 16S ribosomal RNA". It matches the Rfam family "Bacterial small subunit ribosomal RNA", at positions 30 to 507 of the family's 1533-position model. The record is from RNAcentral.
AUUGAACGCUGGCGGCAUGCCUUACACAUGCAAGUCGAACGGCAGCACGGGUGCUUGCCCCUGGUGGCGAGUGGCGAACGGGUGAGUAAUACAUCGGAACAUGUCCUGUAGUGGGGGAUAGCCCGGCGAAAGCCGGAUUAAUACCGCAUACGAUCUACGGGAGAAAGCGGGGGACCUUCGGGCCUCGCGCUAUGGGGUUGGCCGAUGGCUGAUUAGCUAGUUGGUGGGGUAAAGGCCUACCAAGGCGACGAUCAGUAGCUGGUCUGAGAGGACGACCAGUCACACUGGAACUGAGACACGGCCCAGACUCCUACGGGAGGCAGCAGUGGGGAAUUUUGGACAAUGGGCGAAAGCCUGAUCCAGCAAUGCCGCGUGUGUGAAGAAGGCCUUCGGGUUGUAAAGCACUUUUGUCCGGAAAGAAGUCCUUGGCCCUAAUACGGUCGGGGGAUGACGUUACCGGAAGAAUAAGCACCGGCUAACUACGUG